Molecule: ribosomal RNA, 441 nt
Filed under: uncultured bacterium
Lineage: Bacteria
Description: partial 16S ribosomal RNA
Rfam family: Bacterial small subunit ribosomal RNA
Source: RNAcentral
CCUACGGGUGGCAGCAGUGGGGAAUAUUGCACAAUGGGGGAAACCCUGAUGCAGCGACGCCGCGUGAGCGAGGAAGUAUUUCGGUAUGUAAAGCUCUAUCAGCAGGGACGAAAAAAGACGGUACCCCUUGAAUAAGCCACGGCCAACCACGGGCCAGCAGCCGCGGUAAUACGUAGGUGGCAAGCGUUUUCCGGAUUUACUGGGUGUAAAGGGCGUGCAGCCGGGAAGACAAGUCAGAUGGUAAAUCCCGCGGCUCAACCGCGGAACUGCAUUUGAAACUGUUUUUCUUGAGUAUCGGAGAGGUAAUCGGAAUUCCUAGUGUAGCGGUGAAAUGCGUAGAUAUUAGGAAGAACACCAGGGGCGAAGGCGGAUUACUGGACGGCAACUGACGGUGAGGCGCGAAAGCGUGGGGAGCAAACAGGAUUAGAUACCCGUGUAGUC